GCAUUGCUGAAGAGUCCCAUAAUAGGACGAAACGGCCGUCCAGUGU
Molecule: non-coding RNA, 46 nt
Organism: Schistosoma rodhaini
Lineage: Eukaryota; Metazoa; Platyhelminthes; Trematoda; Strigeidida; Schistosomatidae
Source: Rfam